GACGAACGCUGGCGGCGUGCUUAACACAUGCAAGUCGAACGGAAAGGCCCUGCUUGUGUGGGGUGCUCGAGUGGCGAACGGGUGAGUAACACGUGAGUAACCUGCCCUUGACUUUGGGAUAACUUCAGGAAACUGGGGCUAAUACCGGAUAGGAGCUCCUGCUGCAUGGUGGGGGUUGGAAAGUUUCGGCGGUUGGGGAUGGACUCGCGGCUUAUCAGCUGGUUGGUGGGGUAGUGGCUUACCAAGGCUUUGACGGGUAGCCGGCCUGAGAGGGUGACCGGCCACCUUGGGCCUGCGGUACGGCCCAGACUCCUACGGGAGGCAGCAGUGGGGAAUAUUGCACAAUGGGCGGAAGCCUGAUGCAGCAACGCCGCGUGCGGGAUGACGGCCUUCGGGUUGUAAACCGCUUUCGCCUGUGACGAAGCGUGAGUGACGGUAAUGGGUAAAGAAGCACCGGCUAACUACGUG
This 468-nucleotide ribosomal RNA is filed under the name uncultured bacterium. Its description in RNAcentral is "partial 16S ribosomal RNA". It matches the Rfam family "Bacterial small subunit ribosomal RNA", at positions 28 to 507 of the family's 1533-position model. The record is from RNAcentral.